Molecule: ribosomal RNA, 1556 nt
Filed under: Listeria booriae
Lineage: Bacteria; Bacillati; Bacillota; Bacilli; Caryophanales; Listeriaceae
Description: partial 23S ribosomal RNA
Rfam family: Bacterial large subunit ribosomal RNA
Source: RNAcentral
AUGGUUAAGUUAGAAAGGGCGCACGGUGGAUGCCUUGGCACUAGGAGCCGAAGAAGGACGGGACUAACACCGAUAUGCUUUGGGGAGCUGUACGUAAGCGUUGAUCCAGAGAUUUCCGAAUGGGGGAACCCACUAUCUUUAGUCGGAUAGUAUCCUUACGUGAAUACAUAGCGUAAGGAAGGCAGACCCAGGGAACUGAAACAUCUAAGUACCUGGAGGAAGAGAAAGAAAAAUCGAUUUCCUGAGUAGCGGCGAGCGAAACGGAAAGAGCCCAAACCAAGAAGCUUGCUUCUUGGGGUUGUAGGACACUCUAUACGGAGUUACAAAGGAAUGUGGUAAACGAAGUGGUCUGGAAAGGCCCGCCAAAGAAGGUAACAGCCCUGUAAUUGAAAGCAUAUUCCCUCCAGAGUGGAUCCUGAGUACGGCGGAACACGUGAAAUUCCGUCGGAAUCCGGGAGGACCAUCUCCCAAGGCUAAAUACUCCCUAGUGACCGAUAGUGAACCAGUACCGUGAGGGAAAGGUGAAAAGCACCCCGGAAGGGGAGUGAAACAGUUCCUGAAACCGUGUGCCUACAAGUAGUUAGAGCCCGUUAAUGGGUGAUAGCGUGCCUUUUGUAGAAUGAACCGGCGAGUUACGAUUUGUUGCAAGGUUAAGCGGAAAAAGCGGAGCCGUAGCGAAAGCGAGUCUGAAUAGGGCGCAUGAGUAACAGGUCGUAGACCCGAAACCAGGUGAUCUACCCAUGUCCAGGAUGAAGGUGAGGUAAUACUCACUGGAGGUCCGAACCCACGCACGUUGAAAAGUGCGGGGAUGAGGUGUGGGUAGCGGAGAAAUUCCAAUCGAACCUGGAGAUAGCUGGUUCUCUCCGAAAUAGCUUUAGGGCUAGCCUCGAGGUAAAGAGUCGUGGAGGUAGAGCACUGUUUGGACUAGGGGCCCUUCUCGGGUUACCGAAUUCAGAUAAACUCCGAAUGCCAUGUACUUAUACUCGGGAGUCAGACUGCGAGUGAUAAGAUCCGUAGUCGAAAGGGAAACAGCCCAGACCACCAGUUAAGGUCCCAAAAUAUAUGUUAAGUGGAAAAGGAUGUGGGGUUGCAUAGACAACCAGGAUGUUGGCUUAGAAGCAGCCACCAUUGAAAGAGUGCGUAAUAGCUCACUGGUCGAGUGACCCCGCGCCGAAAAUGUACCGGGGCUAAACAUAUUACCGAAACUGUGGAUGAACCUCUUCGGAGGUUCGUGGUAGGAGAGCGUUCUAAGGGCGGUGAAGUCAGACCGGAAGGACUGGUGGAGCGCUUAGAAGUGAGAAUGCCGGUAUGAGUAGCGAAAGAAGGGUGAGAAUCCCUUCCACCGAAUAUCUAAGGUUUCCUGAGGAAGGCUCGUCCGCUCAGGGUUAGUCGGGACCUAAGCUGAGGCCGAUAGGCGUAGGCGAUGGACAACAGGUAGAUAUUCCUGUACCAGUGCUAGUUGUUUGAGCAAUGGGGUGACACAGAAGGAUAGGGAAUCGCACAGAUGGAAACGUGCGUCCAAGCAGUGAGUGUGAGAAGUAGGCAAAUCCGCUUCU